AUACGUAGGGGGCGAGCGUUGUCCGGAAUGAUUGGGCGUAAAGGGCGCGUAGGCGGCGCGGUAAGUCUGGAGUGAAAGUCCUGCUUUCAAGGUGGGAAUUGCGUUGGAUACUGCCGCGCUUGAGUGCAGGAGAGGUUAUCGGAAUUCCCGGCGUAGCGGUGAAAUGCGUAGAGAUCGGGAGGAACACCAGUGGCGAAGGCGGGUAACUGGACUGCAACUGACGCUGAGGCGCGAAAGUGUGGGGAGCAAACAGGAUUAGAUACCCUGGUAGUCCACACUGUAAACGAUGAAUGCUAGGUGUAAGAGGUAUCGACCCCUUUUGUGCCGGAGUCAACACAAUAAGCAUUCCGCCUGGGGAGUACGGCCGCAAGGUUGAAACUCAAAUGAAUUGACGGGG
Molecule: ribosomal RNA, 397 nt
Filed under: uncultured bacterium
Lineage: Bacteria
Description: partial 16S ribosomal RNA
Rfam family: Bacterial small subunit ribosomal RNA
Source: RNAcentral